RNAcentral lists this ribosomal RNA (395 nucleotides) under uncultured bacterium. Its description in RNAcentral is "partial 16S ribosomal RNA". It matches the Rfam family "Bacterial small subunit ribosomal RNA", at positions 338 to 731 of the family's 1533-position model. The record is from RNAcentral.
CCUACGGGGGGCAGCAGUGAGGAAUAUUGGUCAAUGGGAGAGAUCCUGAACCAGCCAAGCCGCGUGAGGGAAGACGGCCCUAUGGGUUGUAAACCUCUUUUGUCGGAGAACAAACCCCGGGACGUGUCCCGGACUGCGUGUAUCCGAAGAAAAAGCAUCGGCUAACUCCGUGCCAGCAGCCGCGGUAAUACGGAGGAUGCGAGCGUUAUCCGGAUUUAUUGGGUUUAAAGGGUGCGUAGGCGGUCCGUUAAGUCAGCGGUAAAAUUGCGGGGCUCAACCCCGUCGAGCCGUUGAAACUGGCCGACUUGAGAUGGCGAGCAGUACGCGGAAUGCGCGGUGUAGCGGUGAAAUGCAUAGAUAUCGUGCAGAACUCCGAUUGCGAAGGCAGCGUACCG